AGAGUUUGAUCCUGGCUCAGAUUGAACGCUGGCGGAAUGCUUUACACAUGCAAGUCGAACGGCAGCACGGGAGCUUGCUCCUGGUGGCGAGUGGCGAACGGGUGAGUAACAUAUCGGAACAUAUCCUAUCGUGGGGGAUAACUAGUCGAAAGACUAGCUAAUACCGCAUACGUCCUGAGGGAGAAAGCGGGGGCUCGCAAGACCUCGCGCGAUUGGAGUGGCCGAUAUCUGAUUAGCUAGAUGGUGAGGUAAAAGCUCACCAUGGCGACGAUCAGUAGCUGGUCUGAGAGGAUGAUCAGCCACACUGGGACUGAGACACGGCCCAGACUCCUACGGGAGGCAGCAGUGGGGAAUUUUGGACAAUGGGCGAAAGCCUGAUCCAGCCAUUCCGCGUGAGUGAAGAAGGCCUUCGGGUU
Molecule: ribosomal RNA, 416 nt
Filed under: uncultured bacterium
Lineage: Bacteria
Description: bacterial SSU rRNA
Rfam family: Bacterial small subunit ribosomal RNA
Source: RNAcentral